UACGUAGGUGGCAAGCGUUAUCCGGAUUUACUGGGUGUAAAGGGCGUGUAGGCGGGAAAACAAGUCAGAUGUGAAAACCAUGGGCUCAACCUGUGGCCUGCAUUUGAAACUGUUUUUCUUGAGUACUGGAGAGGCAGACGGAAUUCCUAGUGUAGCGGUGAAAUGCGUAGAUAUUAGGAGGAACACCAGUGGCGAAGGCGGUCUGCUGGACAGCAACUGACGCUGAGGCGCGAAAGCGUGGGGAGCAAACAGG
This 253-nucleotide ribosomal RNA is filed under the name uncultured bacterium. RNAcentral's name for it is "partial 16S ribosomal RNA". It matches the Rfam family "Bacterial small subunit ribosomal RNA", at positions 524 to 776 of the family's 1533-position model. The record is from RNAcentral.